UUCAUAUUUUGUUUUUCUGCAUACAGUUGUGCAUGCACUGUUAUCUUAUAGACUGCAUGUCAAGGACCUCAGGUCCCCGAGUGGCAGGUCCCUGACUUCUCAACUCGUAGCUGCAGGUGGGUAAUGGUGGCGCCAGGGUUCUCCCCUGGACGCCCAGCACAAGGUGAGAUUGAAGACAACAGAGAUGAGACUAGGGAUAACUUGGUUCUUCUUGCUUGCCUCAUACGAUGGUUUGUCGAUUACAUAAAUAGGAGCCAGGCUCCUUGAUUCUACUGCCAGGCAAUUACAGCCGGCUGCUACUUAAUGCUAAAGGAGUCUGUCUCCUUGAUACUAAUGCCAGCCGUAAUUAGUUGGCUGCUAAGCUCUUCCUCUUCUUUCUUGGUCCUCGUGAGGCCUUAAGCUUCAGCCGCCCUGUCCUCAUUAAGCUGCUGCUGGCCAUGCGCAGCACCUCGUGCUCGAGGUCGGCGGCUGUAUUGUCGGCCCCACAUCACAUCUCUCCCUCCCUCGACGAGCAGCUCGUCCUCGAGCUGAAAGCUGGGGUAGCGAUCUUGGAAGGAGUCGAUGUCUUCCCAUGUUGCAGAGGACACCGGUUCACCCUGCCAGUGGAUGAGCACCUGACGGACUCCACGUGCAAGUCUGGUGCGGGAGGCGCGUUCGGGCACCGGCUGGGUGGCGCCAUAGUGAACCAGAGGCAGAGGCGGUGGUGCUGCUGGUGGGACGCCCACGAACUUCUUGAGCAGACCGACAUGGAAGACAUUGUGAAGGCGGGCGCGUGGUAUGCGACCUCGUUGAUGACCUCCGCCACCUGAUAUGGCCCGUAGAAGCGCGGGCGCAGUUUGCCUUUGGUGACUUCGUUCAGCGAGGCAGGGGCACGAUGUCGAAGGCGGAGCCAUACCCAAUCACCAGUGCUGAAGUGGACCUCCCGAUGGUGCUGAUCAUAGCAGCGCUUGUACACCUGCUGCGCCUGCUCCAGCCUUGCGCGUGCAUCAGCUAUCAGUUCGUCGCGUUCAGCCAUGGAUUUAGCCACAGCUGCAACGCGCGACUCGCCCGGUUCGUAGGAGCGAAUGGAGGGAGGCUCCCUGCCGUAAACGACCUGGAAUGGUGUUAUUUUCAGGGCGGUCUGGUAAGCUGUGUUGAAGAUGAACUCAGCCCACGGCAAGCACUGCAGCCAUUUUCGAGGCCUGUCCCCUGUCAUGCAGCGUAGGUACAUGAUGAUCACCUUGUUGGCUGCCUCUGUCUGACCAUCUGAUUGGGGGUGAAAUGCAGUCGUCAUAUGGAGCUUAAUCCCUGAGAGCCGCAUCAGUUCCUUCCAAAAUAUGGAAGUGAAGACGGCGUCCCGAUCUGAGACGAUGGACUGGGGUAGUCCGUGCAGCCUGACAAUGCCGGAGAAGAACGCUUGGGCUACUGAUUCUGCUGAGUAAGGAUGGGACAGCGGAAUGAAAUGGCAAUAUUUGCUGAACCUGUCAACGACGGUGAGGAUCACGGACUUGCCACCCACUUUUGGCAGUGCCUCGAUGAAGUCAAUGCCUAUGUCUGUCCAGAUGGAUGAUGGCACAGGGAGGGGCAGGAGGAGGCCUGCUGGAUGCAGAUGCUCUGUCUUAUACCUUUGGCACGUGACGCAGACACGUACGAAGUCCUGGACGGCCACUCGUAGGUUGGGUGAGUGGAAAUCUCGCUGCAGCCGAUGGAGUGUGCGCUGGACGCCCUCAUGGCCAUCCUCAUGGACAGCGGUGAGAACCUCGUGGAGGAGCGGCGCGCUCGGAGGUAGGUAGAGGCGGCCGUUAAAUGCCACCAGGUUGUCUGUGAUGGCCCACGGUGGCCCACGACUGCCUGAGGUGAUGUCUUCCUGUAGGGCAACCAAGGCUGGGUCCUGCUGAUUGGCUUGGCGUAGGCGUGUGAUGAGGUCGAACCUGGGCCCUGAAAUGGCCAACACUGCUGCCUCCUCAGUGUCCCGGCGCGAGAGCGCGUCCGCCACUGUGUUGGUGUUGCCCGCUUUGUAUUCCACUGUGAAGUCAAAACCCAAUAGCUUACCCACCCAGUGAUGUUGGGGGAUGGUGGACAGCCUUUGAUCCAGCAGAAACUUCAAACUGAAGUGGUCAGUUCGCACCAGGAAGGGUCUGCCCCAUAGGUAUGGCCGCCAGUGCCUGAUGGCCAGCACAAGGCCGAUCAGCUCGCGUUCAUAGGCUGCUAGGGAGCGGUGUCGUGGUGCUGCCGGCCGGCUGAAGAAGGCCACCGGGUGCGGCCCUUGGAGCAGUACUGCACCGAAGCCAUGAGUUGACGCGUCGCAUUCCACGACAAAUUUUUGGUUGAAGUCAGGGAGGGUCAGAACCGGUGCCGUGGUGACUGCAGCCUUGAGGGUGGAGAAGGCUGUCUCAGCUUCUGCUGACCACGAGAAGCCUUCUUUCUUGAGGAGGGCGGUGAGUGGAGCAGCGAUCGCCCCGAAGUCCUUUACAAACUUGCGGUAGUAUCCCGCCAAGCCGAGGAAUCCGCGAAUCGCCCGAGCUGAGCGUGGCUGUGGCCAGUCUGCCACUGCAUGCACCUUCUCUGGGUCCAUGGCCACUCCCUGGGCUGAGAUGAUGUGGCCCAGGUAGCCAAUGGAUGCAGCACCGAACUCGCACUUGGUACGCUUGACGAAGAGCCGAUGUUGGUGGAGAGUGUUGAGGACAGCGCGCACGUGCUGGAGGUGCUCGGCGAGGGAGUGGCUGUAGAUGAGGAUGUCAUCGAAGAAGACGAGGACGAAGCGGCGGAGGAAUGGUCGGAGCACGUCGUUCAUGAGGGCCUGGAACGUCGCUGGUGCAUUGCAGAGGCCAAAAGGCAUGACCAGAAACUCGUACAGCCCUUCGUGCAUCCGGAACGCGGUCUUCUCGAUGUCCUCCGGAUGCAUCCGGACCUGAUGGUACCCGGAACGUAGGUCCAGCUUGGAGAAGAACCGGGCGCUGUGCAGCUCAUCCAGGAGCUCGUCGACGACAGGGAUGGGAUGGGCGUCCUUGAUGGUGAUGGAGUUGAGUGCACGGUAGUCGACGCAGAACCUCCAAGACCCGUCCGCCUUCUUGACGAGCAGGACCGGCGAAGAGAACACCGAGUUGCUGCGCCGGAUGAGACCUUGGCGCAGCAUAGCGGAGCACUGGCGUUCCAGCUCGUCCUUGUGCGAUGCCGGGUAGCGGUAGGGGCAGACCGCAACAGGCGCCGCUCCUGGCACCAGGUUGAUGUGAUGGUCUCGGGAACGCGGUGGUGGCAUGCCUUCUGGUUCGGCGAAGACGGAGGCGAACUCGUCCAGGAGGGUCGGCAUGAGGUCGUUGGAGUGGCACGCGUUGAGGCGUGGGCUCGUCGGUCCGGCCACGCCCUUCCAGCACACAUGGUGGUCCUAGUGCUAGAAGGACAUGGUCAGGGCGCUGAAGUCCCAAAGGAUGGGCCCCAACGUGGCCAGCCACUGCGUUCCCAGCACAACGUCAUAGCCGGCCAGCGGAAGGGCGAAGAAGUCGGUGGAGAAGUGGGUGCCCUCGAUGGAGAAGGGGGCUGCGCGGUACACGCCUGGACACGGCACCCGUUCGCCAUUGGCGACGGUGACCUUCAUGCCACCGCGGAGCUAGAGGCGGAGGGUUGUGCGGGCGGCUGCUUCAUCUGCCACGAAGUUGUGCGUUGACCCUGAAUCGAGCAGGGCCAGCAGGGACGCGCCACCAAGGUUGAUGCGCACCUGCAUCGUGUCCCCCAGGCGGACACCUGCUAUUGCGUGGAGCGAGAUGAGUGGGGCGUCCGAGGCCUGUACAGGGGCGAUUUCAUCUGAGUCGUCCUCCUCUGCAAUGUCCAGAAAAAACAGGCGUUGACAGACACGGUUAUGGCCGCGAGAGUAUUUCUCGUUGCAAUUGAAACAGAGUCCUUGUCGGCGGCGAUCGUCCAUCUCGGCGUUGGACAGCCGGCGGACCUGUCGACCGUCGAAGGACGGGGUGAUGUUGGGGGGGCGUUGCUGCUGCUGCGUCGGUGGAGCCGGAAGGGUCAACGUGGGGGAAGGCCCCGUCAGCAGACCGCGGCCGGCCAGGCGCGGUGCCGAGGCCGCGAUGGGGGCGAUGGCCGCGGCGGUCGCGGCGGCCGCGGCGCUCUGCUCGCGUAGCUCCAGUUUCCGGGCCAGGCUCAUGGCCACGACGAGGUGCUGGGGAUUAUGCAUCUCCACGUCAUGGCUGAGCGGCGGCCCAAGCCCCGCCGUGAAUGCUUGGACCCGCUAGGCUUCCUCCAGUGGACCGGCCCGGGGAAGCAGAGCCUCAAAGCGGGCCUGGUAUUCCUCCACAGUCCCAGUGCGGCGGCAAGCCAUGAGCUCGCCCAUGGGAUUGGACCGGAGAGGCGGCCCGAAGCGGAGAUUGAGGAGUUCGGUGAAGCGCCGCCAGUUGGGGGUGCCCUCCGAUUGCUGCACGAGGAUAUACCACAUCUGCGCGAUGUCUUCGAGAUUAUACGAAGCCAUCCAUACCUGCUCCUCCGGCGCGAUGCGCUGCUGGACGAAGAAUGCUUCACAUCGAUUGAUGAAGGCCAGCGGAUCGGACUUCCCGUCGAACUUGGGGAAGUCCAUCUUCUGGAGUCGCGGCGGCCGGUCGCCGUGGUGUUCGCCGAAGCCGGACCCGCGCGAGCCUGACGAAGAAGAUGGUGGCGGCUGGGCUUGCUGGAUGGCCACGAGCUGCUGCUGCAUCGCCGCCAUGUUCUUGGUGAGGUCACCAAUCAUCUUGGCGAGGUCGGUGAUGGAGGGCUCUGUCAUGGUGGGCGGGGAGGAUGCGGCAGAGUGGGUGGGUGAGGAUGCUGGUGUGGCAGAGGAUGCAGCAGAGGUGGUUUGGCAGCCGGAGGAUCGACGGCCGUCUGAUACCAAGUUGUCAAGGACCUCAGGUCCCCGAGUGGCAGGUCCCUGACUUCUCAACUCGUAGCUGCAGGUGGGUAAUGGUGGCGCCAGGGUUCUCCCCUGGACGCCCAGCACAAGGUGAGAUUGAAGACAGCAGAGAUGAGACUAGGGAUAACUUGGUUCUUGCUUGCCUCAUACGAUGGUUUGUCGAUUACAUAAAUAGGAGCCAGGCUCCUUGAUUCUACUGCCAGGCAAUUACAGCCGGCUGCUACUUAAUGCUAAAGGAGUCUGUCUCCUUGAUACUAAUGCCAGCCGUAAUUAGUUGGCUGCUAAGCUCUUCCUCUUCUUUCUUGGUCCUCGUGAGGCCUUAAGCUUCAGCCACCCUGUCCUCAUUAAGCUGCUGCAGGCCAUGCACAGCACCUCGUGCUCGAGGUCGGCGGCUGUAUUGUCGGCCCCACAUCACA
Molecule: long non-coding RNA, 5283 nt
Filed under: Sorghum bicolor (sorghum)
Lineage: Eukaryota; Viridiplantae; Streptophyta; Magnoliopsida; Poales; Poaceae
Description: long non-coding RNA (SBIC_LNC001604)
Source: RNAcentral